GUGCUUAACACAUGCAAGUCGAACGGUGAAGCAGAGCUUGCUCUGUGGAUCAGUGGCGAACGGGUGAGUAACACGUGAGCAACCUGCCCCUGACUCUGGGAUAAGCGCUGGAAACGGCGUCUAAUACUGGAUAUGAGCUGCGAUCGCAUGGUCAGCAGUUGGAAAGAUUUUUCGGUCUGGGAUGGGCUCACGGCCUAUCAGCUUGUUGGUGAGGUAAUGGCUCACCAAGGCGUCGACGGGUAGCCGGCCUGAGAGGGUGACCGGCCACACUGGGACUGAGACACGGCCCAGACUCCUACGGGAGGCAGCAGUGGGGAAUAUUGCACAAUGGGCGAAAGCCUGAUGCACCAACGCCGCGUGAGGGAUGACGGCCUUCGGGUUGUAAACCUCUUUUAGCAGGGAAGAAGCGAAAGUGACGGUACCUGCAGAAAAAGCGCCGGCUAACUACGUGCCAGCAGCCGCGGUAAUACGUAGGGCGCAAGCGUUAUCCGGAAUUAUUGGGCGUAAAGAGCUCGUAGGCGGUUUGUCGCGUCUGCUGUGAAAUCCCGAGGCUCAACCUCGGGUCUGCAGUGGGUACGGGCAGACUAGAGUGCGGUAGGGGAGAUUGGAAUUCCUGGUGUAGCGGUGGAAUGCGCAGAUAUCACGAGGAACACCGAUGGCGAAGGCAGAUCUCUGGGCCGUUACUGACGCUGAGGAGCGAAAGGGUGGGGAGCAAAC
This 717-nucleotide ribosomal RNA is filed under the name Microbacterium sp. CBG_LBI39. Its description in RNAcentral is "bacterial SSU rRNA". It matches the Rfam family "Bacterial small subunit ribosomal RNA", at positions 44 to 773 of the family's 1533-position model. The record is from RNAcentral. Lineage: Bacteria; Bacillati; Actinomycetota; Actinomycetes; Micrococcales; Microbacteriaceae.